Molecule: ribosomal RNA, 171 nt
Filed under: Physaria fendleri (Fendler's bladderpod)
Lineage: Eukaryota; Viridiplantae; Streptophyta; Magnoliopsida; Brassicales; Brassicaceae
Description: 5.8S ribosomal RNA
Rfam family: 5.8S ribosomal RNA
About the family: 5.8S ribosomal RNA (5.8S rRNA) is a component of the large subunit of the eukaryotic ribosome. It is transcribed by RNA polymerase I as part of the 45S precursor that also contains 18S and 28S rRNA.
Source: RNAcentral
AAAGUCUAAAACGACUCUCGGCAACGGAUAUCUCGGCUCUCGCAUCGAUGAAGAACGUAGCGAAAUGCGAUACUUGGUGUGAAUUGCAGAAUCCCGUGAACCAUCGAGUCUUUGAACGCAAGUUGCGCCCGAAGCCUUUUGGCCGAGGGCACGUCUGCCUGGGUGUCACAA